Molecule: transfer RNA, 73 nt
Filed under: Candidatus Nitrosopumilus sp.
Lineage: Archaea; Thermoproteati; Nitrososphaerota; Nitrososphaeria; Nitrosopumilales; Nitrosopumilaceae
Also listed under: 8 other names
Description: Nitrosopumilus sp. tRNA-Gln
Rfam family: tRNA
About the family: Transfer RNA (tRNA) molecules are approximately 80 nucleotides in length. Their secondary structure includes four short double-helical elements and three loops (D, anti-codon, and T loops).
Source: RNAcentral
AGCCCGGUAGUGUAGUGGCCAAGCAUAGAGGCCUUUGGAGCCUUUGACCCCAGUUCGAAUCUGGGCCGGGCUA